Long non-coding RNA from Panthera uncia (snow leopard), 2381 nucleotides. RefSeq lists it as uncharacterized. Lineage: Eukaryota; Metazoa; Chordata; Mammalia; Carnivora; Felidae. The transcript is spliced from 2 exons. The record is from RefSeq and is a predicted model, not a curated record.
GAGCUGUCCAGUUCAGCACCACCCGGUAAUGCAGUAGGUGGGAGCGCCUCCGCCGGGGGCCGAGCCGGCAGCGAGUGGGGGGGCAGGCGGGCGGCCCAUCCUGCAGCAAGACGCCGGCUCCCUUGUUUCCAGGAGCUUUGCAGAUAGGGGGAGGGAAACCCGCCUCGAUUCUCCGGGAGAAACCCCCUCCCUCCCCCACUUCGCCAACACUACCCCCGCCACCAACAACAAUAACCGCCGCCGCUGCUCGUCCUGCCGCCGCCGCCGCCGCCGCCGCCGCCGUGCCUGCCCGCCCUGCUGCCGCCGCCGCUGCCGCUGCCGGGGCAAAACCAUGGAAGGCGAGACCCCCGCACCUGUUCAGCUGAGAUCAAGGGCUUACAGAAUACUGGGAAGUCUGGUCUGAAACGGAAGCGCCCGAGACCCCCCCCCCCCCCAAGGAAGAGAACUGGCGAAGCAAAGGAUUUUCAUGGCGCAGGCCGCAGAGCCGAGAACGAAGACGGAAGGUUGCAUCCCGGCUUUUACAAUCUCUAACUGUCUAGGUCCCGACCAUGAGAGAUUGUGUUGAGAAUGCGGCUGUUCCCUGGUUCACUGUGGAAGCCAUCUCCAAAUUAGCUAUCACAUAUGGAAACUGGAGACCAGAAUUUUAGGAAAAGAGAUUAAGGCAUCUCACUUGGGGGGGUGGGGGGUGUCUUUUUAUUUUUUUUUUCCUCCUUUUUUUAAAAAAAAAUUUACUGCAACUGGAACAGUUUCUGAUCUCAAAAGGCAAGCCUCUCUUCCCGUGUGAUCUUUAUAAUUUACACUCUUUUCCGUGAGCUUUUCUUACCUCCCUGGUUUUAUAUCUCUCCAUAUUCUCUAUUCACACACAGAUCCAUUAUAUUAGUAGUGGAAUUAUUUUUAUUUUUUUGCUUUAGUACUCGCACCCUCACACACACUCUCCCGAGAACCAGAAGUCGGUUGGGUGUUUAUAUAAUGAAGAAUUAUGGGGCUGUUUGAUCGAGGAGUUCAAAUGCUUUUAACCACCGUUGGUGCUUUCGCUGCCUUCAGUCUGAUGACCAUAGCUGUGGGAACCGACUAUUGGCUCUACUCCAGAGGGGUUUGCAAGACCAAAAGUGUCAGUGAGAAUGAAACCAGCAAAAAGAACGAGGAAGUUAUGACCCAUUCUGGAUUAUGGAGAACCUGCUGUCUAGAAGGGUCACUGAGACGUGUGUGCCUGUGCAUGUGCUGUGGCCAAAGGGGUCCCCACCGUGAGAAGCCUGGGAGCUCGGGGUACCGCUAAAGGCAUGUGCUUCUGAGCCACGUUCAGAAGCACAGAAAAAAACUCCUGCAGGUCAUACAACCUGCAUUUAGCAACAGACUUUAAUACGAGGGACCGCAUUUGAAUGGCCAUGUGUGUAUAUAUACAUACAUAGAGAUAUCCGUAUGUACAAGCUACAGCUACCCGUAGAAGGAUGUGCACAGAGAGAUACGUGUUUCUGCGUGGAGAGAAAGGCUUAUGUGCUCUGCUUCUGACAUGAACCAAUACCGGAGGCCGUUUGAGGCAGCGCUGGGAAGCGGGGACUGCAGAAUUGUUUGUUAAGCUCACCAUGGGAUGGUGAUGCAAGGACUUGAAGCCAGGAGAUGGGGGAGAAGAGAGGGAAACAGACAGCAGAGGGAGAAACUGAUGUGGCCCCAGGGUCUAACCCAAACUGAGCCAAAGCCGCUCUUUGGGAAACGAUUAUGUCUGGGAAAGAGCACCAGUUUCAUGCCCCCCUCCCAACAUUCUUGGUGCAAGCGGUUGAGUGAUGGCUGAACAUGUUUUGAAUAGCUAAGUGACUUCAUUGAGCGAUGGUCUAUUUGACGCAUACUGCAUUUGGUGCCCUUUCUCAAUCCAAACCGCUGCCUUGAACAUAGUCUGCAGGAGAGCUGUAGGCUGAAUACUCUAUGCUCUUCCCCAGCCAGAGAAUCAAUAUCAGGAAAUUAAUAGGGACCGUUUUAAACACACCCGUCCUUAAAGAAUGAAAAGCCUUUCGAGCAGCUUGUCAUUAACAGUGGAAAGGCUUCCAUUUAAUUAAACAUUUAUGGCAGACUUUUAUUCCAAAAGGGAAGAAAAGCAAAGUGAAUGAGAGUUGCUUUAGGGAAAUGAUCAUAGGAGCAAUUUGCCUUCCUUGGAUGUUAGUCGGAUGGAGACAGGCAGCCAAGAAAUUAGAGGAAAGACGGAACGUUAUUUUAAGAGAAAUAUACUCAGAAAUUGGUAAGUUGGUAUAAACAUACUUUCUUAUCAGGGCUUUACUUGCAAAUUCUUCAUGUACUGGGAUCUUUGAAACAUUUUAUAAUUCCCAGAAGGCAAGUGGACUAGAGGUGGCUUUGGAUCACUUGUGUAUUAAAAGGCUUAAGUAUUUUCA